This 182-nucleotide ribosomal RNA is filed under the name uncultured bacterium. RNAcentral's name for it is "partial 16S ribosomal RNA". It matches the Rfam family "Bacterial small subunit ribosomal RNA", at positions 1317 to 1500 of the family's 1533-position model. The record is from RNAcentral.
UUCAUGAAGCUGGAAUUGCCAGUAAUGGCAGGUCAGCAUACUGCCGUGAAUACGUUCCCGGGCCUUGUACACACCGCCCGUCACACCAUGAGAGUUGGGAAUACCCGAAGCCUGUGAGCUAACAUAUGAGGCAGCAGUCGAAGGUAGAAUCAAUGAUUGGGGUGAAGUCGUAACAAGGUAUC